Molecule: ribosomal RNA, 330 nt
Filed under: Triticum aestivum (bread wheat)
Lineage: Eukaryota; Viridiplantae; Streptophyta; Magnoliopsida; Poales; Poaceae
Description: partial small subunit ribosomal RNA
Source: RNAcentral
AUGAAGAGUUGCCUCAAAGAGGUUCAAGAGAAGCAAGGAAGAAUAUUUAAUUUGGAAUCAGUUAGUGAAGAGGAGAUCCAACACGAGGCACACCUUGUAGAAGAACAACGACUUCAUGAAGUUUGGCGACGUAGGAGGAAUGAGCACAAGAAGAUGUCGGAAAUUUUUAAGCAUGUAUGGGGGAGUAUGAAGUUGUGGGCUGGUGGUAUCGUUGUAACAGAGCUCAUUUUAUUUGUUGAUGAUGUGCGACGCAACACUGCUAGUACUCCUACUAGCGUGGAAGAACCUAACAAGAAGUGCCCGUGUUGCGGCACUCACCUACACGAUUAA